This 229-nucleotide long non-coding RNA is filed under the name Sorghum bicolor (sorghum). RNAcentral's name for it is "long non-coding RNA (SBIC_LNC018331)". Lineage: Eukaryota; Viridiplantae; Streptophyta; Magnoliopsida; Poales; Poaceae. The record is from RNAcentral.
CCGGAACGGGGAUAGGGGAAGUUUCUUCCCCACGGAAACGAGGAUGGGGAAGCACUCCCCGACGGGGAAUUCCCCGUUGACAUCUCUAGAGAUGAGUGGCGGCGUUGCGUUGCUAGGAGCCGGCGGUGUGUGGGUUUGAUGGACCACUAAAUCAAAGCCCAUACAUUUUUUUCUCUUUUAUUUUCCUUUUUUUUAGCAACUUCUAUUUUUUUUCUAACAUCUUUUGACA